ACAAGCAGCGGAGCGUGUGGUUUAAUUCGUUGCUACACGAAGAACCUUACCUGGGUUUGACAUAUAGGUUGUAGGGAACUGAAAAGGACGACCCUUCGGGGAGCCUAUACAGGUGUUGCAUGGCUGUCGUCAGCUCGUGUCGUGAGAUGUUCGGUUAAGUCCGCUAACGAGCGCAACCCUCGUCGUAUGUUAUAUGUGUCAUACGAGACUGCCGGUAAAAAGCCGGAGGAAGGUGAGGAUGAUGUCAAGUCAGCAUGACCUUUAUAUCCAGGGCUACACACACGCUACAAUGGUCUGUACAAUGGGUAGCCAAGCCGCGAGGCGGAGCCAAUCCUGAAAGCAGGCCUCAGUUCAGAUUGCAGUCUGCAACUCGACUGCAUGAAGCCGGAGUUGCUAGUAACCGCAGGUCAGCAAUACUGCGGUGAAUACGUUCCCGGGUCUU
RNAcentral lists this ribosomal RNA (442 nucleotides) under uncultured Anaerolineaceae bacterium. RNAcentral describes it as "bacterial SSU rRNA". It matches the Rfam family "Bacterial small subunit ribosomal RNA", at positions 925 to 1382 of the family's 1533-position model. The record is from RNAcentral. Lineage: Bacteria; Bacillati; Chloroflexota; Anaerolineae; Anaerolineales; Anaerolineaceae.